This 497-nucleotide ribosomal RNA is filed under the name uncultured bacterium. RNAcentral's name for it is "partial 16S ribosomal RNA". It matches the Rfam family "Bacterial small subunit ribosomal RNA", at positions 28 to 507 of the family's 1533-position model. The record is from RNAcentral.
GAUGAACGCUGGCGGCGUGCCUAAUACAUGCAAGUCGAGCGAACAGACGAGGAGCUUGCUCCUCUGACGUUAGCGGCGGACGGGUGAGUAACACGUGGAUAACCUACCUAUAAGACUGGGAUAACUUCGGGAAACCGGAGCUGAUACCGGAUAAUAUAUUGAACCGCAUGGUUCAAUAGUGAAAGACGGUUUUGCUGUCACUUAUAGAUGGAUCCGCGCCGCAUUAGCUAGUUGGUAAGGUAACGGCUUACCAAGGCGACGAUGCAUAGCCGACCUGAGAGGGUGAUCGGCCACACUGGAACUGAGACACGGUCCAGACUCCUACGGGAGGCAGCAGUAGGGAAUCUUCCGCAAUGGGCGAAAGCCUGACGGAGCAACGCCGCGUGAGUGAUGAAGGUCUUCGGAUCGUAAAACUCUGUUAUUAGGGAAGAACAAAUGUGUAAGUAACUAUGCACGUCUUGACGGUACCUAAUCAGAAAGCCACGGCUAACUACGUG